Molecule: ribosomal RNA, 2409 nt
Filed under: Triticum aestivum (bread wheat)
Lineage: Eukaryota; Viridiplantae; Streptophyta; Magnoliopsida; Poales; Poaceae
Description: partial small subunit ribosomal RNA
Source: RNAcentral
AUGGAAGUUCCAAUGGAUGAGCUUGUCAAGCAUCUCACUGGUGAGCAUGAGAAGCGGCGGAAGGUGGUUUCCAUCCUCGGGGUGGAAGGCCUUGGUAAGACUACUCUUGCCAAGGAGGUUUAUUCAAAGAUUCAAGGGAACUUUGAGUGCCGAGCUUUUGUUACUCUUGGCCGGAGACCAUCCAUUAGGGAGACUGUGCAGGAAAUACUUUGUCAAGUAAACCCCUCUGCAGAAAAGAAAAUAAACCUGAAGAUUGAUCCUAGGCAUGGAAGGGGCGCAGCCCCGGAUCUGAAAAAACUCCUCACUGAGCUUUGGAAGUACCUCGCCACAAAGAGGUAUUUCAUCUUAGUGGAUGGCUUAUGGAGCACACAGGCUUGGAAAAUUAUCAAUUCUGCUUUGCCCAACGAGAAUAAUGGAAGCAGGGUAUUGACAACAACAUGCAUCAGUGCUGUUGCUCAACGUUGUUCUGUACAUCCCAUGGAUAUCUAUCGGAUUGAGCCACUUAACGAGGAGAUGUCUGCAAGAUUAUACCUGAAAUUAAUUCGGCAAAAAGAAUGGCCGGCUGAUCAUGCUGAAGUAACCAAAAACAUGUUUAAAAUGUGUGGUGGCAUGCCAUUGGCCCUAGUUCUUGCAGCUGGCUUAUUAGCAGCAAAAUGCAAACAACUACCAGAGCCCGAGAUAUCUGUUGUCUCAUCAGUGGAGCAAUAUUCCAAAUCAGAUGGGAUUAUGAAGACACUGCAGAUGAGUUAUGAUGCUUUGUCUUUGCCUCUGAGGUCUUGCUUGUUGUACCUGAGUGUCUUUCGAGGAGGUUGCACCAUCAAGAAGGACCGUCUGAUACGAUUAUGGAUUGCUGAAAGACUUAUCCCUCGAAAAGAUGAUGAAAGAAGAGCUCAAGAAAUAAGAGGUGAUGGAGGAGAAGAAACGAGAGUUGAAGGAGGUGAAAUCAUAGGAUAUGAAGAAAAUGGAGGUAAAGAAACAGGAGACGAAAAAAGCUUGUGGGAGACAGGGCAGCUCUACUUCAAAGAGCUUAUCAUCAGGAGACUGAUUCAACCUGUGUUCAACUACAAUGAUGACCAGCCAGUGAGUUGCACCGUUCAUGGUGUGAUUCUUGAUUUCAUCAAUUCUUUGUCGAGCAAAGGUAACUUUGUUACAGUUGGUGGUGCUCAUUUGAGCACAGACAUGGUUCGGCGAUUCUCGCUAGACUGCUUUAACAACAAUGACGAAGACAGAGAUGCCACCUUGGCGUCAUUUGCUAUGCACUUAUCUAGAGUGCGAUCUAUGAUUGUUUUGGGUGAUAUUGAAGGGAUAGCUGGUCGUUCGGCCCUCACAUUAUCUGGAAAAAUCGAUGGGACUCCUGUUCUUCCAUCCUUCAAACUUUUAAGAGUACUUGAUCUGGAAGGUACUUAUCAUUUGAGAAGCCGCCAUCUUCAAGGCAUCGGGGGAUUGGUUCUGCUGAGAUACCUGGGGGCUGCAGAGACUGCAAUCGAUUCUUUACCAGAGGAAAUCGGAGAACUAGGGCAGCUGGAGACCCUGAAUUUGAGGAAGACAAAAAUGCUGAGCACUUUGCCUACUUCUAUAGCUAAGCAGAAAAUGUUGGCACAUCUGCUAAUUGACGGCACCGUCAAACUGCCUAGCGAAAUCCUGAAAAUGCAAGGAUUAGAAGAAGUAUCAACUGUUGGUGUCUACAGUAGCAGGUCAAUUGAUUCAGUGGCAGAGCUCUUGAGGAAGUCGGAGCGGCUGAGGGUCCUUGGCAUAAGAUUGGAUGGGUCACACUUAUCUAAUGAUAACGGGAGUGUCAGGACUUUCCUCAUGGAGGUUACAAGGAUGGCCUCUCUUGUCAGCGUUACCCACUUGGAUAUUGAAAUUGUUCGAUUAGAAGAUGAAGCUGUCCGUGCCCUGGGAGGUUUGCCUCAUCUAGUCCUUCUCAAGUUAGUUUCUUCAGGUGGCAUAAGAUUCAGCUCACAACUCAAAUGGAACCCAGAAGGCAGGUGCAAAGUCGGCGUGGACCAGGGCUUUAAGUGUGUGAAAGUAUUAUCGCUCAUAUGCCGAUCUGGUGGGACGGAGCUGGAGUUCACACCAGGAGCCAUGAAGGAGCUACAGAGGCUGACGCUCGACUUCAGCGCACGGGAAGCACUGUGUAUCUAUGGAAAUUUCAGUUUUGGCAUCGAGCAUCUCUCUUCCCUCACACGAGUCCAUGCCAUGAUUAGCUGCAAAUGUGCUGUAGCUUCGGAGGUGAAUACUGUGAAGGAUGCGAUACGAGAACAAGCAGGUAACUUGUCUAGCAAACCCACGAUCGAAUUUACCACAAUAAAUGAACACAUGAUAAUUCCUGAUCACAAAGCAAAGACAGCAGCAGUUUCCCCUAAAAUUUGGUUAAACGGGUGUAUCAACUUCAGACAAACUGCCUAG